GCUCGCCCACCAUCUCCUCCUCUCUCCGUUCCUAUCUUCGCCGCCGGUGUGCCAUUCGACGGCGUUUCUCCGUCCGCCGUUCUCUCCCCGCCCCCCCCCCCCCCCUCCCGGCGAUCGAGGAAUCCGGAAUUUUCCUCCGGGCUCGGCGUUUUGCGGCGCUUCGGAUAUCCCUUAGGGUUCGGUGUUCGAAUCUCGGUGUCUCAGCGAUCGAUCUGCGGCUGAAUUUCGCGGUUCCUAGCCGGGGUACAUAAAUUCACGGUCUGUUGUUGCUCCGUUGUUAUUCAACUGUUGAAUUGGGUUUGGCAUUCUGGUUAUUCCGAAUUGGGGGUGCUUGGGAUUGGGAUUGGGAAUUUUUUCUUCUUUGUUGUUUUUCAGUGGAAAAUUGAUAAAAAGAUUGGUGUAUUUUGCUGUUUCUUUGGGUAGAGGUGCAGUUCUGUUAGGGUUUUUUUUUUUUUUAAUUGAGCGUGUCUCUGUGGAUUUAUAUAUGGCGGCUGGGAGGCAUGGGGGUUAUCGUGACAAUGAGUUGAGGGACCGUGAGUCUAAUUUGUAUGCGUCGAAGCGGGAUUUGGGUUAUUCUAAGGAGGAAUAUGACCGGAGUGGGAGCAGUAAUCAUGACGAGGAGCGAGUCCGAAGUCGUAAUGCUAGAGAUAGGGCUAGGGUUAGGCAGAAGGAUGUUAAGGAGAGGGAAGUGGCAAACGGCGGGCACCACUCCUCUUCGAGUAGGAGUGACUCUGGGAGUAGUGGAGGUGCGGGUGGCGGUGGGUCUAGGCAUCGUGGUAUUUCAGUUAGGACCAUGGAUAGAGAGCCAGGUGAAUUGUCCAGCGAAAGCGGGUCUGAGGACGCCAUAGAGUCUGACACACGGGUUAAGGACGUAGAGGUUUCUAAGACGGCAGAGAAUGGGACCCACUCCCCAGUAGUGGAGAGGAAGAGGAAAUUCUCACCUAUAAUUUGGGAUAGAGAUGAUGAUGAAUCAAGUAAGGCAUUGAAAAGAAGGGCUUCCACCACAGUUGCUGCCCUUCCUCCUCCACCUCCACUUCCAAAAUCAUACCGUGAGAUCCCUAAUACUUACAAUGGGGUUGUGCAGAUAUCUUCAGUUAAAUGUGAUUUAGGUCAAGAACCACAGCCUUCCUCACCGGUUACUGAAAAGGUUAAUAUAAGUGGUGAAUCUGGGGCUGAGUCUCCAAUAGAAGACUCUUCAGCAUUUGCUUUACCUUCAAAUCACGAUCUAUGGGGUAAUGAUCAGGAGGCAACACAGGUAGAAGAUGAAGAUGAUGUGCCAAUGCAUAACAUAUCAUCUUCCAGAUGGGCAGCAGGAGAUAGUUCUCCAGUUGAUGAGGGUGAGAUAGUGGAGGAUGAAGAUUUGCCUAUGAGAAGAAAGAAGACACCUUUGUUGGAAUCAUUAGGAGUCAGAGGACGUGGCAAAUCAGUCAGUCCUGAGAUGGGGAAGCUUAAGAAAGAUGGCUCAGACAGACUUAGGGGCAGGUCUUCUGAACCUGAUGGGCGAGGUGGCACUGCUGGGUCAUCCAGUGAUAACCGCUAUUCUGACCAUGACUUUGAUAAAAAUGAUUACAUGGAUGUCGAUGAAAAGAACCGAAAAGGUGAUAUGAUCAACGAUAUGUCCGACACUAAUUCAGAAAGCGACGAUGAUUCUCGAGGAACGCCAGAACCUGCUGGUCUGCCUCAGAGAAGUGUAAAUAUGCUGCAGGGUUGUAGAAGUGUUGAUGAGUUUGAGAGGCUUAACAAGAUUGAUGAAGGGACUUAUGGUGUAGUUUACAGAGCUAGGGAUAAGAAAACUGGAGAAAUUGUAGCACUGAAGAAGGUAAAGAUGGAAAAGGAAAGGGAAGGUUUUCCUUUGACUUCUCUGAGGGAAAUAAAUAUUCUGCUAUCUUUUCAUCACCCGUCGAUCGUGGAUGUGAAAGAAGUUGUGGUGGGGAGCAAUCUUGACAGCAUUUUUAUGGUGAUGGAAUACAUGGAGCACGAUCUUAAAGCGCUGAUGGAGACAAUGAAACAGCCUUUUAGUCAGAGCGAAGUCAAAUGUCUAAUGUUGCAGCUAUUAGAAGGUGUGAAGUAUCUUCAUGACAACUGGGUGCUUCAUCGGGACCUUAAAACAUCAAAUUUGCUUCUCAAUAAUCGUGGUGAGUUGAAAAUUUGCGAUUUUGGAUUGGCUCGGCAGUAUGGAAGCCCAUUAAAGCCUUACACUCACUUGGUAGUUACUCUUUGGUACAGGGCACCUGAACUCCUGUUGGGGGCAAAACAGUACUCAACUGCCAUUGACAUGUGGUCCCUGGGCUGUAUCAUGGCUGAAAUGUUAUCCAAGGAGCCACUCUUUAAUGGGAAAACUGAAUUUGAUCAACUUGACAAGAUAUUUAGAACUCUUGGAACCCCAAAUGAGACUAUCUGGCCGGGUUUCUCCAAGCUCCCUGGUGUCAGGGUCAACUUUGUAAAGCACCAGUACAACUUGUUGCGGAAGAAAUUUCCACCAACAUCUUUCACAGGAUCUCCAGUACUUUCAGAUUCUGGUUUUGACUUGUUGAAUAAGCUUCUUACUUAUGACCCUGAAAAGCGAAUAACUGCAGAGGCUGCCCUUAAUCAUGAGUGGUUCCGUGAAGUGCCUCUUCCGAAGUCCAAAGAUUUUAUGCCUACUUUUCCUGCUCAACAUGCUCAGGACAGGCGCAUGCGAAGAGUUAUGAAGAGUCCAGAUCCUUUAGAAGAGCAGCGCAGGAAGGAAUUAAUGCAAGGCGAGCUCGGGGGUGGAGGUUUGUUUGGCUAAAUGAAUAGGAUAGCCUGUGAACCUCAUGCUGCAGUCUGUAUACACAAAAUGGACAUGGUCGAGGUGAGAGUUGCAUUGACGGGAGUUGGGAACAUAUUUAUCUGGAGAUCAUUCAUGUUAUUUUUUAGCAGGCGCCGUGCUUGGGUGGAGAAGUUUGUUCUUGGUCUCCAUUAGUAAGCCAGAUGUCUCGCAGGUUUACUUUGUUCACUGGCUUUGAUCACCAAUAGAUAUGCAUCUGCGACCCUGCUUGCAUCGCAAGAGACGGUGGUCUGAAGUUGAAGGACGUUCUUUUCUUUACAUACAGGAAGAAUAUCACAGUAACGAGUAACCUAUAUGUUUGGAAGAAGGACGUGUAUGUUUUGCCCCAUUCGCUUGAAUCCAAAAUAUUGUAACUACGUGACUUAUUUUGUGACCUGGGAAGCCCUGGAAAUGUCCUUAUUGUGCUGAUGGCAUGUGAUGGUGUCGAGAUUUCUAUAAUUUUUCAGAAUUUUGACGUUUGUCUGCGGCUGUCACCUGCAGUAUCCAAGUUGCAAGCAGGUUGAGGAGUUUACCUUCAAAUUGGAUUAUAGAACUUCCAUUAGUUGUUCGUUCAGGCUCAUCAGAGGUACCAUAUAACUCUUAGUUUUCGCUUCGCCAUAUUGACAGUAUCAUGUCCAGUUUGGUUAAACUAGAUCUUGGUAAUUUUUGUUAAUAUAUUAUACUUCACCAUAAUAUAGUCAGAAUGUUGCUGGGUAUAAGAGUUCCUUUGAGCUUCUGUCAGGAAUAUGUGCCAUUACUGACGGGAAACAUUAUCCCUCUGCAUCAUGCUUUUGGUGGAUGAAAUUUUCUUGGCUAAUUGGGUAUCAGAAGUUGAUAGAUGCUGCAUGCUUCUUGAAGACUUAAGUUUAUUGGACAGGAUUAAAGUCUUGGAAUUUGUCUUUCACUAAUUGCAGCUUCGCUUUUUUAUUGUCUAGUGGAGUAAAUUAUUCAAUUAUUCACAACAAAUGCCUUUUUGAGACGUGCGUAGUUAUUUGCAAGCUAUCAGUUGCAACGUUGUGGCAAGUGCUUUAAUGCUGACUUUUAAAGAGUCAUGAUUCCUCAAGUGUUUUUGGGUUCAUGUCCGUAACCCUGUUUUUUAUGUCUUGCCAUGUGGAAUUUGGACAAAACUGAAUUAUUUUUAGGCUCAAUAAUGGUGGAGUUAAGGAUUAGGUUCUAUUUCCUUAGCUGGUUCGACCUUAUCUCUGCUUUUGUUACAACCCUGGCUCUAUGGAUGGAGCAUUUCACGGUCAAAAUUUUUUCUGCUUGCCCGAUUUUUCAUGACAUUUCCUGUGGAAAGAACUUUGGUUGGGAGAAACUUGGAAAUGCUAUUAUGAUAGGGAAAUAUUCUUGCUUAGACUCAAGUCCAUGGACCAGGUGCUUAGUGGUUUUUCAUGUGGGAGACCCAUAUGUGGAGCGCAUGUUGAACCUACACGAUCUAUACGGUUGUGAUCGAUCCGGUCCAUGUUGGCUCGGGUGCAGGCGAGAAAUUCCCACUGUCAUGGGACUUAUUUCAUUUUAUUUGACAGUACUUAUGUGAAACUCUUCCACCUUUAAGUGAAUAUAGAGAAUUGGCAGGCCUUGAGAAAAUAUGAUGCAUUCGUCUUGGCAUUCAUUGUUAGACAACGUUCAAUCUCUGGUGGGCAUUUUAUAUUGGAUAAGUUUAUAAAAAAUAAAAAUGGUAUUUAAGGUUUUUUGUUUUCCAGAUUUGCUAUGAAGUUAUUCACUUUACCAACUCCGAGAUAAGAGUUUCAUUUGAAGCGAUGAAAGAUGAUGCAACUUUUUGAAUCUAUUGAAUUGCAUUAAAAGCAAAGGGACAAAAAUUGUGUCGCUAUUAACUGCGUUCCAUGGUCGAGUUUAGUAGGAUGUGGUUUUCUCUUGUUUCUUUUGAGUCAUGGUCGAACCUGUUGUGAGUUGAGAAUUGUAUGUGCAACUAUGAGGAGUGGUUGAUGUGAAGAAGAGGUUUUUACAUUCAACUGUCUUGCUUCGGGUGAAACAAGAAACUUGUAUCGGCCAUACAUGUAUUUUUGUUUUUUUUUGUACGCCUGUUCUCUCUUUUCUCUGGUGUCUCUAGGGAGCUAUCCAUUGUGGGUAAUACAGAGGCAAGAAAUUGGCGCCUUGAAGCCUGGAUUGAGUUGUAAUCUAAUGGCCGACGGUCACAGAAGAGAAACUUAGAUGAUGGAGGCUUCUUCAAGCAGAAGAAUAUCGCACUGGAAGCUAGUGUUACAAUAACACUGCGAAGCAAUAGGCGGAGAAAAAGAUGAUGCAGUAUAGGAAGGAAGCGACCGAAGAGUCCAUCCCUAUCUUAGAUUCGUUUACUCUGCUCAUGGGCGAGGACAGUAAAACGUUUCUCAAGAGGAUUAUUUCUCGAAUGACAACCGAUGCAGGAGUGAUACUUGCACGGAUAAUUGCACAGUGAUUGGGCAUGUAAGCAACGGGAAAUGGUCGCGCAUGGUGCAGAUUAUAUGGUCAGUUGGGAAUUGCCAUUGGGCACUCCCGGCGAUAUAGAAUCGAAAAAGUUAAAAAAGUCCCGAGUUGCUCUUCAAAAUCUUUUACUUCUCGUCCUUUCACCAUCGAAAAACUUAAUUUACUCGAACUGCUUCGAGUCUGGGAAGCAUGCCUAACUUGUUACGCUCUUCUACAAUUUAAAUUGGGGUUUUAAUCAA
RNA transcript from Syzygium oleosum, 5451 nucleotides. It is a transcript of the gene named cyclin-dependent kinase G-2, with no coding region annotated. The record is from RefSeq and is a predicted model, not a curated record. The transcript is spliced from 9 exons. NCBI's taxonomy places the organism in Eukaryota, Viridiplantae, Streptophyta, Magnoliopsida, Myrtales, Myrtaceae.